CAUAGCUCUUAAGAUUCUUUCCUUUGUCUUGACUUUAGAUAACCUGAUGACUAUGUGCCUAGGCAAUGAUUUUUUUUGCAAUGAAUUUCCCAGGUGUUCGUUGAGCUUCUUGUGUUUGGAUGUCCAGAUCUCUAGCAAGGCUGGGGAAGUUUUCCUCGAUUAUUUCCUCAAAUAUGUUUUCCAGACUUUUAGAUUUCUCUUAUUCCUCCAGAACACCAAUUAUUCUUAGGUUUGAACACUUAAUAUAGUCCCAAACUUCUUGGAGGCUUUUUUUAAAAUUCUUUUUUCUUUAUUUUUGAUGGAUUGGGUUAAUUGAAAAACCUUGUCUUUGAGCCCUGAGGUUCUUUCUUCUGCUCGUUCGAUUCUAUUUCUGAGAUGUUCCGGUGCAUUUUGCAUUUCUCUAAUGUGUCCUUGAUUUCCAGAAGUUGUGAUUGUUUUUUAUUUAUGCUAUCUGUUUCACUGAAGAUUUUUCCCUUCAUAUAUUGCAUCUUUUUCUGAUUUUAUUAAAUUGGACUUCACCUUUCUCUGAUGCCUCCUUGAUUAGCUUAAUAAUUGACCGUCUGAAUUCUUCGGUAAUUCAGAGACUUCUUCUUGGUUUAGAUCCAUUGCUGGUGAGCUAGUGUGAUCUUUUAGGGGUGUUAAAGAACCUUGACUUGUGAUAUUACCAGAAUCAUUUUUCUGGUUCCUUCUAAUUUGGGUAGACUAUGUCAGAGGGAAGAUCUGGGGUUCAAGGGCUGCUGUUCAGAUUCUUUUGUCCCACAGGAUGCUCCCUUGAUGUAGUGUUCUCCCCCUUCCCAUAGGGAUGUGGCUUCCUGGGAGCUGAAUUAUAGUAACUGUUAUUUCUCUUCUGGAUCUAUCCACCCGGCAGAGUUACUGAGCUCCAGGCUGGUACUGAUGGGUGUCUACACAGAGUCCUGUGGUGUGAACAGUCUUCAUGUCUGUCACCCAUGGAUACCAGCAACUCCUCCAGUGGAGGUGGCAAGGGGGUUAAAUGGACUCUGUGAGGGUACUUAGUUUGUAGUUUUGCUUACUAUACUAGUUUUGUGCUGGUUGGCCUCCUGACAGGAAGUGGGGCUUUUUUUUUUUUUUUUUUUUUUUGAGACGGAGUCUCACUCUCUUGUCCAGGCUGGAGUGUAAUGGCACAAUCUCGGCUCACUGCAACAUCCGCCUCCCGGGUUCAAGCAAUUUUCCUGCCUCAGCUUCCCAAGUAGCUGGGAUUACAGGUGCCUGCCACCAAGCCCGGCUAAGUUUUGUAUUUUUAGUAGAGAUGGGGUUUCACCAUGCUGCCCAGGCUGGUCCCGACCUCAGGCGAUCCGCCUGCUGGGAUUACAGGCGUGAGCCAUGGAGCCUGGCCCAGGUGGAGCUUUUAAGAGAGCAUCAGCUGCGGUAGUAUAGGAAGGAUCAGGCAGUGGGCAGGGCCCUAGAGCUCCCAAGAGAUUAUGUGUUUUGGCUUCUGGCUACCAGGGCAAGCAGAGAAAGAUCAUCAGAUGGGGGCAGGGUUAGGUGUGUCUGAGCUCAGACUCUCCUUGGAUGAGGCUUGCUAUGGCUGCUGUGGGGGAUGGAGGCAUGGUUCCCAGGCCAAUGGAGUAAUGUUCCCAGGGGGAUUAUGGCCGCCUCUGCUAUGUCAUGAAGGUUGCCAGGGAAGUGGGGGAAAACCAGCAGUUACAGGCCUCACCCAGGUCCCAUGCAGCCCAAAAGGCGAGUCCCACUCCCACUGUGCACCCGCCAACAGCACUGAGUUCAUUUCCAGGCAGCGGUGAACAGGAAUGAGAACUUGCCUCAGACUACCAGCCUCCUGGCUGAUAAAGCAAGCAGAACUUUCAGGUUUCACACCUCCCCACCUCCCCCAGCUUCUGUGCCAUGUCAGCACACCCAAUUCACCCUCCCCCCUACAAGUUCUGUCCAGGAAUCUUUGCGUUCGGUUGAAACUGUUACAAAGUUCAUUUGAGGUUUCCUUCCCUCUGCGGUCUUUUCCCAGUUCCUCUGGCAGCCCUCCUCAAGGACCUCUGUGAGACAAAGUCAGAAAUGACUUCACUGGAGACCAAGAGAGCCCACAGAGCUCUUCCUGCUGCUUCUUCUACCCUUGUACUCACUCGGCUCUCUAAAUUUGUCUCAGCUCCAGACACGUGGGAAGAUUACCUUUCUCUGAUGUCUUGGGAUUGAACUGAGCUAUGUGGCUAGUUACAGGCCAAUAGGCUGUUAGCAGAUGUGACAUCUAACACAACUAGGCUGCAGUUUGAAAUAAAUACCAGUGCACAGCCUCCAGAAUUCCUCCCCUGCUAAGGUGACUGAGAAGACCUCAGCUGAGAUGGUGGGAAAAAAAAAUAUUCAAGCAGCUUGGAUAACGAAGUUCCUAAAUGGAAGAACAUUGUCCCAGAGAGUCACUUGAACCCAGAAUAGAUUUACGUGAUCAGACAAUAAACCUCUAUGACACCCUGAGUUUAUUUUGUUUUUUGAUUUUGUUACUGCAGCAUAACUCAACAUACCCUGACUGGUAUAGUCAUGGAGAUUAUCAUCAGGAUCUCCUAUGCUCCUGCAUAUGACACAGCCAGAGUUCUGCAGACAUUUAACUUUGGGCAUCUAAAUAUCAUAAAUGC
RNAcentral lists this long non-coding RNA (2597 nucleotides) under Homo sapiens (human). RNAcentral describes it as "HSALNT0150973". Lineage: Eukaryota; Metazoa; Chordata; Mammalia; Primates; Hominidae. The record is from RNAcentral.